CCGACGGUGAGAGGUGAAACCCUGGGGCGCAAACCGGGUUAGAUACCCGGGUAGUCCAGGGCGUAAACGCUGCAGGCUUGGUGUUGGGGGCCCUACGUGGGCGCUCAGUGCCGGAGUGAAGAUGUUAAGCCUGCCGCUUGGGGAGUAUGUCCGCAAGGAUGAAACUUAAAGGAAUUGGCGGGAGAGCACAGCAACGGGAGGAGCGUGCGGUUCAAUUGGAUUCAACGCCGUAAAACUCACCGGGAGC
This 247-nucleotide ribosomal RNA is filed under the name uncultured archaeon. RNAcentral describes it as "partial 16S ribosomal RNA". It matches the Rfam family "Archaeal small subunit ribosomal RNA", at positions 691 to 937 of the family's 1478-position model. The record is from RNAcentral.